GCCUCCCUCCCCCACGCUGGGAGCCAGCUGGGGGCUUCCCGCGCGCUUUCCCGCCAGCUCGCCGCGGCGCGCGCCUCAGUUCGGGGGCGCGCACGUGGGCGGGAGAGGGCUCCGCGCCGACGCACGCGCACAGGCCACCCCCGCCUUCUGCCUGCCUUUGCGGCUGCAGUUUCUGUUUCAGCCUUGGCCCAAGACGUGAUCUAAUUCUCAUGCUGCUGUGGGCAGAGCACAUGGCAUCAGAAUGCUGGGAGCUGCUGUCUGUCGCCAUUGGAGGGAAUUCCCCAGCUCAGGAAAACUCUUCCAGCGGAAGGGAGCAGGUGGCGAGCCUCCCUGAAGAGACAGACGCUGCCAACGCUGCAGGCAGAGCCAAUCGUGUGGUGGCUAACAGAUUUUUCCAGCAACACAGAGCCGAGAGGAUUAGAAUCUGGGAGAAGAAAGAGCUCUGCAUUCUUGGCUUCACCUGCCUGGAGUGGAGUUUCCAUCAUGCUGAGCUGGAGGUGCACGGGGCCAGGGAAGGAGUAAGUUCUAGCUCAAGUGUCCCAGACUCUUACUAUUCUUACUGAAAUUGAGUAGAUUUUCUUGAAUAAAUGUUCCUUCAUCUGCUGUAGACUCUUAGGAAAAUUCCCAGGAACAUACGUCUAUCUUGAUAUUAAUGUAGAUAUAAAUAAUUAUGUAUGUAUAAUUUUUUAGCGGUUUUACUUGUUCUGCUGGGGAGAAGGUCUGAAAGGUUUGCAGAGCUGCUCAUGC
This 747-nucleotide long non-coding RNA is filed under the name Saimiri boliviensis boliviensis (Bolivian squirrel monkey). Its description in RNAcentral is "lncRNA (ENSSBOG00000036510.1)". The record is from RNAcentral. Lineage: Eukaryota; Metazoa; Chordata; Mammalia; Primates; Cebidae.